RNAcentral lists this long non-coding RNA (533 nucleotides) under Elaeis guineensis (African oil palm). RNAcentral describes it as "long non-coding RNA (EGUI_LNC044602)". The record is from RNAcentral. Lineage: Eukaryota; Viridiplantae; Streptophyta; Magnoliopsida; Arecales; Arecaceae.
GAAAAGAACUGUCUUAUCCUUGUUUAGGGGCAAAUAAGGGUUGCCUCAGAUCGAACUAAAUACUCAGGGCAAAUUUGAGGAUACAAAGAAGAAAUAGCUUUUUCAGUCAUAGACCAAAAAGAACAGUCCGAUAAUGAACUUACAUCUUAUUUGAGGAGAGAAGUACAACCACUCUUUCACAUAAGGAUGUUUCUUCAGAGUGAACAAUACUCUAAAAAUAGAGCACCUCAGGAUAAUGUGGAGCUAACUACAAAGGAUAACAAAAAUAAUGACCACCUAAGUCGACUUCGGGGUGAUCUAAAUUGGAAGAAUUCUAUAGAAGUCAAGAAUUUUGCUGAUGAAAGGGGGGAGAGGCAGACGAAGAUCGAUCUGGAGAGACUCCUUGUACAGGGCAAGUCGGCCCCCCAAGGCAUCGAUCACACUACCAUCCUGACCAAAAAUUUCUAGUUGAAAGGCCGAAGAGAUGAAAAAUUGAAAAUAAAAUCUUCCAAGGUUGUCCUUAGUAACACUCGAUUCUUCAUUACUUGGGCCCC